Molecule: ribosomal RNA, 329 nt
Filed under: uncultured bacterium
Lineage: Bacteria
Description: bacterial SSU rRNA
Rfam family: Bacterial small subunit ribosomal RNA
Source: RNAcentral
UGCGCAGGCGGUUGUGCAAGUCUGAUGUGAAAGCCCCGGGCUUAACCUGGGAACGGCAUUGGAGACUGCACGACUAGAGUGCGUCAGAGGGGGGUAGAAUUCCGCGUGUAGCAGUGAAAUGCGUAGAGAUGCGGAGGAAUACCGAUGGCGAAGGCAGCCCCCUGGGAUGACACUGACGCCCAUGCACGAAAGCGUGGGGAGCAAACAGGAUUAGAUACCCUGGUAGUCCACGCCCUAAACGAUGUCAACUAGCUGUUGGGGGUUUGAAUCCUUGGUAGCGAAGCUAACGCGAGAAGUUGACCGCCUGGGGAGUACGGCCGCAAGGUUAA